GACGAACGCUGGCGGCGUGCUUAACACAUGCAAGUCGAACGCUGAAGCUCAGCUUUUGUUGGGUGGAUGAGUGGCGAACGGGUGAGUAACACGUGAGUAACCUGCCCCCUUCUUUGGGAUAACGCUCGGAAACGGGUGCUAAUACUGGAUAUUCACUGGUCUUCGCAUGGGGGUUGGUGGAAAGGGUUUUUCUGGUGGGGGAUGGGCUCGCGGCCUAUCAGCUUGUUGGUGGGGUGAUGGCCUACCAAGGCUUUGACGGGUAGCCGGCCUGAGAGGGUGACCGGUCACAUUGGGACUGAGAUACGGCCCAGACUCCUACGGGAGGCAGCAGUGGGGAAUAUUGCACAAUGGGCGCAAGCCUGAUGCAGCGACGCCGCGUGAGGGAUGGAGGCCUUCGGGUUGUGAACCUCUUUCGCUCAUGGUCAAGCCGCAACAAUGGUUGUGGUGAGGGUAGUGGGUAAAGAAGCGCCGGCUAACUACGUG
Molecule: ribosomal RNA, 483 nt
Filed under: uncultured bacterium
Lineage: Bacteria
Description: partial 16S ribosomal RNA
Rfam family: Bacterial small subunit ribosomal RNA
Source: RNAcentral